This 914-nucleotide long non-coding RNA is filed under the name Phaseolus vulgaris (common bean). RNAcentral describes it as "long non-coding RNA (PVUL_LNC001475)". The record is from RNAcentral. Lineage: Eukaryota; Viridiplantae; Streptophyta; Magnoliopsida; Fabales; Fabaceae.
UUUUUUUGUUUCCAAUUUAUAGAGUUCAAAAUUUACCAGUAACUUGUGGGAAGCAUUUAUGUUGAUACCUUUUUCCGCUUGGUAAUUAAAUUGUCAUUAAUGGAAAAAAUCAUGUACACGUGACAAAUGGAUCCGUGCACAACUUCACCCGAACAAGUCAGAAAGUGAAAGCACGAACGGAACCCAUGCUGCAAGUUGCAUCGCCCCACAACUAGCCAUCGUCACAUUCGCCUUAACUUCUGGGAAGGUCAUGUCAAAAGCUCUGCAUUUCAUGUGGAAACUUGCAAUUCACAUCUCCUCCUCCUCCUAAGUUACACAACCACUACCUUCCAAUAUCAUCAAUUCUCAAACAACUACAUAGUCGGUGCAAUUCUUAUCCCCUCCCAUCACAUUUUUAUUAUGCAUUCUAAGAACCCUAAGCUUCUAACUCUGUAAAAUUACCAAAAUCACAAACACCUCAAUCUAUGUGUUUCUUGUCUUAAUGUAAGUCAUAUAAGAAAUUGGGAAUUGGGAAUUGGAAAUUGGGUGAGGAGAUUACAAACAAAAUGUGUAAACUUUUAUAUUAUUCAUACUGAUUGUAGAUUAUAAGCUAUGAGGACAAGGAAAUUAGUACAAAGGGAACAAAGAAUACACCAACAUUACAUAAAUCCUUGUUUCAUUCUUCACUUUCUCUCGGUAAAGAGGAACAGUAAAAUGAUCAUACAAGGGUAAAAUUAAGAGAAACUUGGUGUUUUUCUUAGGUGACAAGCUCACACAACGUUGUGAUAUUAAUCAAAAAGUAUACAACAGCUACUUAAUGGCUAAAUUACAAAAGGAAAAGGAGAAAAGCCGAAAAAAGUGAAUGAAGAAAAAAAAAGGAAUACGAACAGUGUUUAAAGUUUGAGGUUUGAAGAUCGAAGUCAUCGUUGUUGAUG